This 400-nucleotide ribosomal RNA is filed under the name uncultured bacterium. Its description in RNAcentral is "partial 16S ribosomal RNA". The record is from RNAcentral.
CAACAUUCUGAUUUGCGAUUACUAGCAACUCCGACUUCAUGUAGGCGAGUUGCAGCCUACAAUCCGAACUGAGAUUGGCUUUUAGAGUUUUGCUUGACAUCACUAUCUUCGCUUCUCGUUGUACCAACCAUUGUAGCACGUGUGUAGCCCAAGACAUAAAGGGCAUGAUGAUUUGACGUCAUCCCCACCUUCCUCCGAUUUGUCAUCGGCAGUCUCUCCAGAGUCCCCAUCAUUACAUGCUGGUAACAUAGAGAGAUAAGGUGUGCGCGCUCGUUCGCGGGGACUUAACCCAACUAUCUCACAGACACAGAGCUAGACAGACACACCAUCGCACACACCUGUAUAAGCUGUCCCCCGAAGGGACCUUAUCAAUAUUCUCAAUGAACUCACUAGAUUGCGC